RNAcentral lists this non-coding RNA (75 nucleotides) under unclassified sequences. RNAcentral's name for it is "c-di-GMP sequence". It matches the Rfam family "c-di-GMP-I riboswitch aptamer". Rfam says of the family: GEMM was predicted in a large-scale screen for bacterial structured RNA regulatory elements. Genes associated with GEMM are involved in a diverse array of functions, including chemotaxis regulation, signal transduction, secretion and chitin. The record is from RNAcentral.
AAUAAAUAUUGGUAAAUAAUGGAAACAUUAUGACGCAAAGCUAAAGGGUCUUUAAAAUGACAGCCAGCUGCAAUU